AGAGUUUGAUCCUGGCUCAGGAUGAACGCUGGCGGCGUGCCUAACACAUGCAAGUUGAGCGAUUUACUUCGGUAAAGAGCGGCGGACGGGUGAGUAACGCGUGGGUAACCUACCCUGUACACACGGAUAACAUACCGAAAGGUAUGCUAAUACGGGAUAAUAUAUUUGAGAGGCAUCUCUUAAUAUCAAAGGUGAGCCAGUACAGGAUGGACCCGCGUCUGAUUAGCUAGUUGGUAAGGUAACGGCUUACCAAGGCGACGAUCAGUAGCCGACCUGAGAGGGUGAUCGGCCACAUUGGAACUGAGACACGGUCCAAACUCCUACGGGAGGCAGCAGUGGGGAAUAUUGCACAAUGGGCGAAAGCCUGAUGCAGCAACGCCGCGUGAGUGAUGAAGGCCUUCGGGUCGUAAAACUCUGUCCUCAAGGAAGAUAAUGACGGUACUUGAGGAGGAAGCCCCGGCUAACUACGUGCCAGCAGCCGCGGUAAUACGUAGGGGGCUAGCGUUAUCCGGAUUUACUGGGCGUAAAGGGUGCGUAGGCGGUCUUUCAAGUCAGGAGUGAAAGGCUACGGCUCAACCGUAGUAAGCUCUUGAAACUGGGAGACUUGAGUGCAGGAGAGGAGAGUGGAAUUCCUAGUGUAGCGGUGAAAUGCGUAGAUAUUAGGAGGAACACCAGUUGCGAAGGCGGCUCUCUGGACUGUAACUGACGCUGAGGCACGAAAGCGUGGGGAGCAAACAGGAUUAGAUACCCUGGUAGUCCACGCUGUAAACGAUGAGUAC
This 779-nucleotide ribosomal RNA is filed under the name Clostridioides difficile Y343. RNAcentral's name for it is "bacterial SSU rRNA". It matches the Rfam family "Bacterial small subunit ribosomal RNA", at positions 8 to 816 of the family's 1533-position model. The record is from RNAcentral. Lineage: Bacteria; Bacillati; Bacillota; Clostridia; Peptostreptococcales; Peptostreptococcaceae.